CAGGUAGCUCAGUUGGUAGAGCAGCGGACUGAAAAUCCGCGUGUCGGUGGUUCGAUCCCGCCCCU
RNAcentral lists this transfer RNA (65 nucleotides) under marine eukaryotic metagenome. It matches the Rfam family "tRNA", at positions 5 to 66 of the family's 71-position model. Rfam says of the family: Transfer RNA (tRNA) molecules are approximately 80 nucleotides in length. Their secondary structure includes four short double-helical elements and three loops (D, anti-codon, and T loops). Further hydrogen bonds mediate the characteristic L-shaped molecular structure. tRNAs have two regions of fundamental functional importance: the anti-codon, which is responsible for specific mRNA codon recognition, and the 3' end, to which the tRNAs corresponding amino acid is attached (by aminoacyl-tRNA synthetases). tRNAs cope with the degeneracy of the genetic code in two manners: having more than one tRNA (with a specific anti-codon) for a particular amino acid; and 'wobble' base-pairing, i.e. permitting non-standard base-pairing at the 3rd anti-codon position. The record is from RNAcentral.